UCACAUUAUCUCUUUAUUUCUACUCUCUCCUUCCAUCUCUUUCCCUCUCUCUCUUUCCCUCUCUCCUCUCCUUCUCAGGAUGGACACAGGAUGUGAAGAGAGCAGGUGGCUGACAGACUCACAGCAACACCCUGUGGCGUGCCCAAGCCUGUGGCUAUUCCCAUUUCUCCUGGUAUUCCCAGUCCUCCUCCUGGCUUGGCUGGGCUCCUCUCCAGCUUCCUGUAGUGGAGUGUUUGGCAUCACGCCGUGCCCAGGAACACACACUGCAGCCAUGCCUGUGGGCAUGAAGUGUGCGUGUGGGAGAGAGAGAGGGCGUGUCAGAGGGGGUGGAGUAAAGGUAAUGUCUCUCUCAAACACACACACACACACACACACACACUACUUAGCAGUGCCACACUUUCUCACAUGGUUGUGGGCUUCCUUUUCUUUACUAGUUUUUGUUGACCGCUGAGAAAGACAUACCCUCUGUGUUUGGUAGAGCAGGAGUCAGAGGAGAGGACAGGAGAGGGGUCAGACUCACCCAGGUAGACAGAGGUAGGAGUGGACGGAGGGCGACACCCAUGGAGGAAGGUCACUCUGAUAUUCCCCACCACUGACCCCCUUGUCUUGCGUAGCCAGACAUCGUAUUCUUGCAAUCGUAAAAAAGCUAGUGACACGUUGAUGACUCGGCUGGUAUCCUUGUGCUUUCUCAGGAAAUGGGAGGCUGUGGAGGAUAUGACAAACAGCCCUCAUUCAGUCAGCAAACUAACUGGACAGCUCUACUGUACGCCACAGGGGACAGACCCUUGGCAGGCAGAGAGGUCGCUGAGCUCUGAGAACAACAGUUAGUUGGGUGGAUCUUCUUCACAGCUCUACUGUUAAGAGGUAGUGUCCAAAGUGUGGAGGAUGAUGUCACACGUCAGCUGUCCUCAUAGCUGGGCUUCCAUGGCAACGACAUUCAUCAGAAUGACUUCCUGCAAAAGCAAAGCACUGUCACGAUCACUUUCUGUACUGACAGAUCACUUUAUACGGAUAAUUAUUGUGUUUGUGUAAGGUUAAGCAUUGAAAUGCUAAGCCAAAUGAGUGGACUGUCUUUGUAAAUCUACUUGUCAUCCAUGUCACAACUGCUGCACAGAGUUUCGAAAUAAGCAAAGUAUCCUCCAAAAUCUUUGCUGCUGCCGUGCAACCACUGCAUCCCUAUUGUCCAGCAGGGAAAGUCUUCCCCCAGAGGCUGGUUUCACAUGGUGGUUUAGAUGAAUGUUCCCAGUGUCUAGCACCAUUUGAAAUCAGUGUUCUUGGGGACAGGAGAACAGCACUGGGCCUCUGAUAGUGUCAGUCAGUCUACUGGAGCCAUCCUCUCUCUCUCCCCUUUAAAGGAUGACUGAUUUCCUCUGGUGUUUAGAGCCCCUUAAAGCCUUCUAGCACCAUUUGAAAUCGGUUAUAAUGACUGGGGAUCAAUGCCUCAAUGUCUUCACGAUGUCUACAUGUCAACUCUACAGUCAAGCAGACAGGAAAUGAAUUGGAUGAAUGUUCGUAUUAUACAGGGUCUGCUCUACAGAUCCUGGAAUCUAAAUGAGUUGGACAGGAGCUCAUUUCCAGUGGGACAGUUUUAAAGUUUUUAUUGAAUAAAUGUUCAAUAAAACUGAAUUGAU
This is a long non-coding RNA of Salvelinus namaycush (lake trout), 1631 nucleotides long. RefSeq lists it as uncharacterized. The record is from RefSeq and is a predicted model, not a curated record. Lineage: Eukaryota; Metazoa; Chordata; Actinopteri; Salmoniformes; Salmonidae. The transcript is spliced from 4 exons.